This 391-nucleotide unclassified non-coding RNA is filed under the name soil metagenome. RNAcentral's name for it is "partial contains 5.8S ribosomal RNA, internal transcribed spacer 2, and large subunit ribosomal RNA". The stretch from base 1 to 122 matches the Rfam family "5.8S ribosomal RNA", at positions 35 to 154 of the family's 154-position model. The record is from RNAcentral.
GAUGAAGAACGCAGUGAAAUGCGAUACUUGGUGUGAAUUGCAGAAUCCCGUGAACCAUCGAGUCUUUGAACGCAAGUUGCGCCCGAAGCCAUUAGGCCGAGGGCACGCCUGCCUGGGCGUCACACGUCGUUGCCCCCCCAUCUACUCCUUCGGGAUUGCGGGGGGCGGAUGAUGGCCUCUCGUGCGCCUCGUCGCGCGGUUGGCCUAAAUGCCAAGUCCUCGGCGACGCACGCCACGACAAUCGGUGGUUGCGAAACCUCGGUUGCCUGUCGUGUGCGGUCGUCGCGCAUCGAGGGCUCGAAAAAAUUGCCGGGCUUCGGCUCGACUUUCAACGCGACCCCAAGUCAGGCGGGGUUACCCGCUGAAUUUAAGCAUAUCAAUAAGCGGAGGA